Molecule: long non-coding RNA, 5112 nt
Filed under: Sus scrofa (pig)
Lineage: Eukaryota; Metazoa; Chordata; Mammalia; Artiodactyla; Suidae
Description: lncRNA (ENSSSCG00040003144.1)
Source: RNAcentral
CAUAUAAUGUGAAACAUAUAAUCAGGCUGCUGGUGAAUUUGUUGCUACAUAAAGAAAAAAUGUCUUUUUUCAGAUAAGCUGGCUCUAUAAAAUGUGUAAGUUAGUAAGAGAUAAAUAUGAUUCAAAACUCUCAUUAAAUGGAAAGCUCAGAAAACUUUGGACUGAUUAUAAAGCAGAGCCUGUGAGAAAGCCUGGUAUCUUUUAGGGAAGAGUAUAUUUAAUUGUUUAUAUAAAUUAAAAAUGUGGAUGAAUUUGGAAAUAAAUGCUGAAUCUUAGGGAACUGAUUUAAAAAUUAUCAAUCCAAGGGAAAUAAAAGAUAGAGAAACAGUCACCAAAUAUCCAAUUAAUUUUUUCUACAUUUCUUAGUCCCCUUAUAAUUAGGCUGGGCCGUUUGACUAUUUUUGCCUAAAAAAAUGUGAACGGAUAGGAUUUAUCAAUACUUCCACUCUGAGGCACUGUCAGUUUUCUAAUUUCUCCCUCUGCCCCAAGCAUCAGGACAAAGGAGGUCCCCUGUUCCAGAUACAAGAGCUACAAAAUACUGCAGCCUGCCUCUGUGAACCUGACUUCCUCAGUCACCCUGGUGGACCAGUGCUGACCAGGUAGCAUGAAUGAUAAACUUUUAUGUCGUUAAGCAUUUGUGAUGAGAUUGUUUAUUACCGCAAUACAAUUUAACCAAUCCUGACUAAAACAAGGAGUAAGUGAACAUCUGGGAGAGAGCCAAACAGUGAAAAAAAAUUUUUUGUGUGUGUCUUUAUAGGGCUACCCCAAGCACGUGGAAGUCCCCAGGCUAGGGGACCAACUGGAGCUGUACCCACUGGCCUACAACACAGCCACAGCAACUCUGGAUCCAAGCCUCGUCUGUGACCUACACCACAGCUCAUGGCAAUGCAGGAUCUUUAACCCACUGAUUGAGGCCAGGGAUCAAACCCAGAUCCUCAUGGAAUCUGGUUAGUCUGGUUAGUUACCACUGAGCCAUGAUGGGAACUGUCAAACUCCGAAAUUAAAAAUGAAACAAAGGCAAAACCCUCAAAAUCUCUGGUUCUCAGUAGCUCUCUAAGCAGGAAUUUUGCACUAAUGAGGAAAGAUUGUUGCUAAAAGUUCUGUCUAGUCUUAACACCAGCUCGGUUUUACCUAACUGCCAAAAGUGUUUCUGAAUGUGGCAGCUCUGGGUUAUUUGUUGGUCAACCCAGUCUACAGAAUGGUUUCUGUUUAUUCACUUUUAUUGAGCUCUGUUACUACUGAGUUGAAUAAAAUUUGUGUGUAAGCGCCUCUCCCUGUGUCUGAUUUGUUAGUUAUCUGAUAGGAAAGUCAACCCCCUCAGGCCAAAUCUUUGAAAGAGGAAAUUAUCAUGAGUUGGGCAGAAUAUAUCUUAUAGAUUUUGCUAAAUCGCAAAAUGCACUGUGAGCAUGUGUUGGAAAACCCUCAAUUAGGCCCCAAACUGCAAAAUGCUAACGAGACAAAUUAGGAACUGAGUGAUACAGAAAUGGCUGUCUGAAAUAGUGAGCUGAUGGGGCUUGUGUCAGAUUGCUGAGAGAAGGGCUUAUCCCGUGAUUAGCCCCAGGCACGCAGGUGUCACAUUCAGCACCCCAGGGUGAGCUCUAAUUUCCUCUGCUUCUCUGAGCCCAGGGACUUGAAACUACCAAGUGGAGGAAAGUAACAUUUAUGGAACAUCUAUGGUGUACUAAUUACCAUACUAUAUAUUUUCUCAAGUAGACUUCCAUUUUACAGAUAAGGCAACUGAGGCUAAGGGUAGCUAAGUCACUCAAGAGCCAGGGUCAGGAUUCAACCUGGUUCCAGGCCUUGCUAUCAUCCCACAUGUUCACACUGACCAGCCCAUUAACAAGACCACAGAGCUAUACUCAUCCUAAAGGAACUCUUCUUGGUGAGGCAGUCAAAUGAACGUUGGUGCUCAUUUUUUCUUUUAACCAAGAUCUCUGAGUCAGUGUCUAUGAGUGCAUAAGGCCACAGAUUCAAUAUGCAAAAGGUUCCGAUUUCAGUGAAAUUCUACUUUAAAUGUAUAUAUAGAAUUAACUUUUUAAAAAAUCAUCAGAAAAUGUGAUAUUCCUCAUGUAUAAAUUUUCUUAAUGUCCAAAGCUUACAUUUUAAGGUCACAUUUUAAAGUAUUUUUCCAAAAUUUUUCAGAAUCUCUUUUUGCCCUCCUUUUUUUGACUUCAAGUUUAUUGAUACAUAAUUGAUACAUAACAUUGCAUAAGUUUAAGGUGAAAUGCUACUUUGACAUGCAAGCAGCAAUGAGGCAGCCCCAGCAGACAAGAUUUAGCAUAAUAAAUCCAAGUCGUGCAACCAAUAAGGUGGAGGAUACAGGAAGAAGUAGGUUAAAAGUUAUAAUUAAAAAUAACAUUGACACUUUGCAGGUGAAGACUCCACACAGUGGAAAACAUUCCUUUGUUCUACUCUCCAUGCAGAUUUCACUUCUGAAAAGUGCAUAUUAAUAUUUGUUUAGAUUUUUUGCCUUUAUUUAAAAAAUACAUGUAAGGAAGGAGCACACACAAGGAAUCUAAGACACAGCCCUUUCAUCUCAUUCAUUUUUUUGAAUUAGAAUUUGGAAAUAAGAGUUUUGUUUUCCUAUAAGCACAUUCCUGAUAAAUAAUCUUGCUAGUCAUUGCAAAUCAUCCUUCUUGGAUUAUUUUAUUAAUUUAGUGGGUGGAUUUAUUCCUACUGUGCAUGAGCAAUAGUUGUCUCAUCUUCACCAUAGACUCGUACAUUAUGCAAAAACAUAGAGACAUUAGUUAGUCUUUUACUAAGGGUCUAGGGGUCCUUAAAAAAUUAAACCACUAAAAUUAACUUAACAUUCUAAAUACAAAUUGAUGACAUUUCUAUGUGAAUAAGCCCUAUUUUACUUUAAUAACUUUCUUCAUCUGUAAAAAUGUACCCCCACAUAUCUACACCAUGGGGCAGUUGUGAGAACUGAAAAGGGAGCAUAAUUGAAAGAAAGCAUCACUGCUUGAAUCCUAAUAUGAAGCCAAGAUAUAUUCACUUUCUUUCUUCUUGCUACCAAAUCCUAAUUGCACAUGCACUAAAUGUUCACCAAAGUUUAAGCACCUUGAGGUCAGGUACUUUUUCAAUUUAUCUCAGUUUCUGCAGAGCCCAGAAAAGUAUCUGGCACAUUGAGUGUUUCUUAAAUGAAUGACUUUACAUUUCUUUAGAUGAGAAUUUUUAUAUCUACUUGCAAAUUUUCACUUCUUUCAAACUUUGAAAAUUAGGCAACUGUAGAUAAUACUCCUAAGUUUUGAUCUCUCCGGGAUCUUUUUUGGCACAUCAUUCAAUAUGAUUUCCCAUCUCACUGAAAUAAUUCUCAGUUUCUCUUGAGAGUAUUGCGAAAAAUUACAUUCAUGCUCUAGCUCUAAAUUCUUCUACAGAAUGUGGUUUUGAUGAGUAAACAAAGGCUUCAAAUAUUUCCUGCUAUUACGAGUGUACUUAAAAGUUCAGUCUCAAGUUACUUUAUACUGCUCUAAAUCUGAAGUAAGAACCAGUCACUUAGAAAAAAAGAGCAGUUAUUAAAACAAAACUUAGAAGUACAGAUAUGCCAAAGAAUUUUUUCUGUUUUUGUUGUUUUGUUAUCUUUUUCUGUUUUGUUUGUUUUAAUAUCUUAGGGAAGCCAGAAAAAUUAGUUUCACAGUUAUCAAAGAAAGCAAAAUUAAUGAAAUGAUUACAGUUGUCUAGCUUUUGAGUGUAUUAUAGAUGUUUUCUUGUUCUUCUUUUUCCCUUUUUUUAUCCUCCCCUCUUUCCAUAUUAACAUUUGUUAAUUAAACUGUUUUCUAGGUAUUUUGAGGGAACAGUACUUUUUUUGUUGUUUUCUGGCAUAACUUAGUUCAAAAUUUUGUUUCAAAACAAAGCCAAGUUGCAGCCCAUACCUGCCUUUAUUCUGGGAAAAGCAAAACCUAGCAAAACAUUCUUUGCCUUCACCCUUCAGUCUUGUCUUUGAAAUGGUUACACAGUAGCUGAUCUCUGGUAGGACAGCUUUAGCCCUGAAGAAAACUUCUAUUUAUAAUGUUUACAUACGAUCCCAAAAAAGGAGGGAAAGAAGAAGAAAAUUACAUACACAGAGUUUUAUUUAGUCUCCAGAAUCAUAACCCAGAAGUUAGCUGGUCAACCAGAAGAAUGGGGAGAGGGGAGGGGUGGGGAGCUUACUGCUCUCAGUGUAAAGAUGGCCUCCUCUCAGUUUGUGCCAAGAGGUCAUCCAUUCACAGCCUUCUUUGGCCGGGAGGGAACUACCAACCACAGCUGCUGUGCAGCUCUGAAAGUAUCCUAGUGUGGUCAGCUCAUUCCAUCUUCAGCAGAGGAGACAAUGUGUGAGGCUGAAUGUAGACACUAUGAGAGGUUUAUUUAAAAGCAGAAACAGGAGUUCCCGUGGUGGCUCAGUGGUUAAUGAAUCUGACUAGGAUCCAUGAUGAUGCAGUUUCCAUCCCUGGCCUUGUUCAGUGGAUUAAGGAUGCAGUGUUGCCGUGACCUGUGUGGGAGGUCUCAGACGGGGCUAGGAUUCGCAUUGCUGUGGCUGUGGUGUAGGCUGGCAGCUGUAGCUCCAAUUAGACCCCUAGCCUGGGAACUUCCAUAUGCCAUAGGUGCAGCUGGUCCUAGAAAGACAAAAACAAAAAAACAAAAAACCUGAAGCAGGUUGUAAGAGAAUAAACAGGUAGCACAGGUAAUUCUCAACCCCUGAAACCUGAUCAGACCCACCUUCAGUGUUUGUUCCGACUGCCUCCUGAGAUCUCUCCUUCUCUCUGCCAGCCUUGCCUCUGUACACGCUCCUCCAUACCCACCUUUGAGAACAAGAGUCUGAUGGUGUCUCUGUCUGUUACCAAAGUCCCAAUGAAAACAUAAUUAGAUAUCUUGGCAGAUCCAUGGCACUAAGUGCUGAAUUAGAUUCCCUGGUGGAUACAAGCAACAGAUAAUAAGAAAUUCCCUAAAGUGAUUCUUCCAAAUGUAACUUAGAUUUGGAAUGUAUUAUCCAUAGGGAGUUCCUAGUGGUUAAGUCUAAAAGUUAAGGAUUCAGCCUUAUCACUGCUGUGGCUCAGGUUACUGCUGUGGCUUGGGUUCAAUCCCUGGCCUGGGAAUUUCCACAUGCCACGGGAGCAGCAAAAAAAAAAAAAAAAA